GGCGAUGUAGCUUAAUCUGGUUAUGGCGUCACGCUCAUAACGUGAAAAUUGAGGGUUCAAAUCCCUCCAUCGCCA
Molecule: transfer RNA, 75 nt
Filed under: archaeon
Lineage: Archaea
Description: tRNA-Met
Rfam family: tRNA
About the family: Transfer RNA (tRNA) molecules are approximately 80 nucleotides in length. Their secondary structure includes four short double-helical elements and three loops (D, anti-codon, and T loops).
Source: RNAcentral